GCAAGUCGAACGAGAAGCUCUAGCUUGCUAGAGUGGAUAGUGGCGAAAGGGUGAGUAACGCGUAUGCAACCUACCUUGUACAGGGGGAUAGCCCGGAGAAAUCCGGAUUAAUACCGCAUAAUAUGAUUGAUUCGCAUGGAUUAAUUAUUAAACUUUCGGGGGUACAAGAUGGGCAUGCGUAGCAUUAGUUAGUUGGUAAGGUAACGGCUUACCAAGACGAUGAUGCUUAGGGGGUCUGAGAGGAUAGUC
Molecule: ribosomal RNA, 249 nt
Filed under: uncultured bacterium
Lineage: Bacteria
Description: partial 16S ribosomal RNA
Rfam family: Bacterial small subunit ribosomal RNA
Source: RNAcentral